GAAGGCCUACUUCUUUCUCGGUGUCUAUUAUUGCUAAUUGAGGAAAAGAAUCAAGUGUCCUUGUUUGUCUACAAUUAUCUGUAUUACUGUGAUAGAAAAGAUGAACAUGAUUCCUGUUGUGCAUACAAAGUUCAGUUGGCACCAUUCUGGAAACUGAAGAACUCCUCAAAAUUUUCACCUGGACAGCAAAGAAAUACAUUUCGAUUCUCAUCCCAACUCCAGUUAACAGGUGACAGCUCUGAUUUUGAUGGGGCUUCACAGAAAGAGAUAUGCCAUAAGCAAGAGAAGAAACUUCUUAGGGGGAAAAGGGCAUGUAUGACAUAUACAUUGUCACCUCUGCUCUGAAGAAAACGUGGCACGGGUUCAGACACAAUGAAUCCUUGUAGAGUUCUUUGAUAAAUUAUCUUCAAGGAUCAGAAGAACUGAAAAUGAUACAAUUUUGAGUUUAUAACUAAGUUUUGUUGGCUCCUAUAGACUAUUUUAGAUGGUAUGUCUUUCUAGAAAGUGAGACUACUUAUUAUUGUUUUAAUCUGAUGACCUCUGAGAAGAAUUGCUGAAAUCAGGUUUCAGUUUUUUCCUUUAGGAAACAAAAGUUCAUUGUACAGAAGCAUUCUUAGAGAACAUAAAAUACAAAUUACCAUUUCAUUCAGUAGCAUACAAUGAAACAAGCCUGUACAUCUUUAACACUGUAUUUUAAUGACCAAUGAGAUUUCCAGUAAAGAGGUUUUAAUGUGCCUACAGAAUGCCGUCACCUUCCUAUGAUGCACUGACUAAUGUAACAAAAAUAGAAACCAAAUCAAAGUUCAGAAGUAAAAAUGAAACAUUUUAAUCAAAUGAUUACUAGUGCUGAUUUUUAUAAUAAAAGUAGCUAUUUAGAAUUUGUAAAAUAACAGCAAAGCACUUAAUCUCCUUACUGUAUCUAACCUCAUUAAAGUAUUAAGAGGUAGUUAUUAAGCUGCCAAAAAUAUAUCUAGGGAACAUUGUAUUUCAAAUAUUACUAUGACUAAGUAACAUCUGAAAAUAAAAUCGCAUACUUAUUGCCCUGGGUUAUUUUAACUAGCAGUUGUUUCAUUGUAGAACUGCAAGGAUUUUUAGACUAAUUUAAAUAAUAUAGAGUUUUAAAAAUUCACACUGAAAACACUUUAUAUUUAAGAAGAUAGGUUUUCUGCUCAAAAAAUAUGCCUAAACAAAGAGGGCUGCUGGGUGGCUCGGUUGGUUAAGCGUCCAUCUCUUGAUUCCAACUCAAGUCAGGUUCUCACGGUUCGUGAGCUUGAGGCCCAUGUUAGGCUCUGCGCUGACAGCUUGGGAUUCUCUCUCUCUCUCUCUCUCUCUCUCUCUCUCUCUCUCUCAAAAUAAAAUUUAAAAAAAACUUAUAAGAAGAUAAGUUUUCUGUUUAAUAUUGUUUUCCAGUCAUCUGCUUUGAAAGAGAUAGUAGCCUUAAAAAAAACCCUCCUCUCUGCCAUGUUGCAAACUGCUGGCUAAGAAAAAAAUUCUAAAUCAGUCAAUAAGCUCAAUACUUAGCAAUUAGCUUUUUAUUGGUUUGUGGUGAAGAAAAUUAUGCCCAACUGGAAAAAGAGCAUUAUGCUGUUGACAUAAAAUUUCACAAUUGUAACUGUUUUGCCUAUCAACGGACAUAAAAGCAAGAAACCAAAGAUAAAGGAAGUAGGUAUUUCUUCAUCACACUUCCCAAGAGGAGAGACUAGCAAUUCAAACAGGGAGACUGUUAAGCGGGAAAUAAUGACAUUUGCCUCAGGCUCUAGAGCUCCGAGUUAGCUAGGAAAAGGGAGUGAGGGUGAACCUCACCUGAGAUCCUGCCCCGCUCCAACACCAGCUCAAAAAGAAGCACGAAAACUGUUUAAUUUCCCUCCAUUAGGCACAUUCCAGCUGCAGUCUAUAACCGAGGCACCAAUUCCCACCUGAGGGGUGUUAUAACUGAAUCACACAGAGAUCUUAAGAAUGAGUUCCAACAGCAUCAAUGGGGCUCUGCUAUUAACUUGAUCUCAUAAAAGUACUAAAUGAUUUUGUAACUUAAAUAUCAAAAGCUGGGAAAAGGAGACAAUAAAAACUAAUGUAUUAAUGUACAAUGUAAACC
This is a long non-coding RNA of Suricata suricatta (meerkat), 2092 nucleotides long. NCBI's taxonomy places the organism in Eukaryota, Metazoa, Chordata, Mammalia, Carnivora, Herpestidae. The record is from Ensembl.